GACGAACGCUGGCAGCGUGCCUAAUACAUGCCAGUAGAACGCUAAAGAGAGGAGCUUGCUCUUCUUGGAUGAGUUGCGAACGGGUGAGUAACGCGUAGGUAACCUGCCUUGUAGCGGGGGAUAACUAUUGGAAACGAUAGCUAAUACCGCAUAACAAUGGAUGACACAUGUCAUUUAUUUGAAAGGGGCAAUUGCUCCACUACAAGAUGGACCUGCGUUGUAUUAGCUAGUAGGUGAGGUAAUGGCUCACCUAGGCGACGAUACAUAGCCGACCUGAGAGGGUGAUCGGCCACACUGGGACUGAGACACGGCCCAGACUCCUACGGGAGGCAGCAGUAGGGAAUCUUCGGCAAUGGGGGCAACCCUGACCGAGCAACGCCGCGUGAGGGAAGAAGGUUUUCGGAUCGUAAAGCUCUGUUGUAAGUCAAGAACGGGUGUGAGAGUGGAAAGUUCACACUGUGACGGUAGCUUACCAGAAAGGGACGGCUAACUACGUG
Molecule: ribosomal RNA, 497 nt
Filed under: uncultured bacterium
Lineage: Bacteria
Description: partial 16S ribosomal RNA
Rfam family: Bacterial small subunit ribosomal RNA
Source: RNAcentral